This 442-nucleotide ribosomal RNA is filed under the name Klebsiella planticola. RNAcentral describes it as "bacterial SSU rRNA". It matches the Rfam family "Bacterial small subunit ribosomal RNA", at positions 661 to 1102 of the family's 1533-position model. RNAcentral also lists the same sequence under 1 other name. The record is from RNAcentral. Lineage: Bacteria; Pseudomonadati; Pseudomonadota; Gammaproteobacteria; Enterobacterales; Enterobacteriaceae.
GUAGAAUUCCAGGUGUAGCGGUGAAAUGCGUAGAGAUCUGGAGGAAUACCGGUGGCGAAGGCGGCCCCCUGGACAAAGACUGACGCUCAGGUGCGAAAGCGUGGGGAGCAAACAGGAUUAGAUACCCUGGUAGUCCACGCUGUAAACGAUGUCGACUUGGAGGUUGUUCCCUUGAGGAGUGGCUUCCGGAGCUAACGCGUUAAGUCGACCGCCUGGGGAGUACGGCCGCAAGGUUAAAACUCAAAUGAAUUGACGGGGGCCCGCACAAGCGGUGGAGCAUGUGGUUUAAUUCGAUGCAACGCGAAGAACCUUACCUACUCUUGACAUCCAGAGAACUUAGCAGAGAUGCUUUGGUGCCUUCGGGAACUCUGAGACAGGUGCUGCAUGGCUGUCGUCAGCUCGUGUUGUGAAAUGUUGGGUUAAGUCCCGCAACGAGCGCAAC